Gossypium hirsutum (cotton) is the source of this 141-nucleotide non-coding RNA. Lineage: Eukaryota; Viridiplantae; Streptophyta; Magnoliopsida; Malvales; Malvaceae. The record is from Rfam.
UGUUAAAAAUUUCAUCCAUUUGUACUGUUAAAAACUAGCGUGUUUGACGGAAUAACUAGAUAGUUGUAUGUCAAGUGCCAUGCGUACCUCAGACGUACAAUGACCAGUUUUCAACAGUAGAAAUGAAUAGAAUUUUUAAUA